GUAACUUACAGGACCCCCAUCAACGUUAUGCCUCUGUUCUUCAGGUGGAAGAAGGUGGUAAGUAUUAUACAAAUCUACUCCCUAACAUUGUGUGAAAUUCGGGGGGGGGGGGGGAGACCUCAGUGUACUAUUACCAGACUUAUGGGCAUGCAUAUACAUACACAUGACAGUUUAACUGUCAAGCCCUCUUCCUGGGAAUUGUGGAUCUGUGAGGGGAAGGAAGUAGCAUCCUUGCCAAACUACAGAUCCCAGGAUUCUUUGGAGGGAUCCACAGAUGUUUAAAGUGGUAUAAUACUGCUUUAAAUAUAUAGUGGCAUAUGCAGCCACAGUCUUUCAGAAAAGUUUAAAACCAAACCAAACCCUUCCUGCUGUUUUAUUCCUACCAACAGCUUAAAGCCAUUGACAAGUUCCGGUUUGGACCCUGUUCUUCAGUCGACUGUCAAAAUCCUGGACGUCCCUUUUGGACUUAAAUUAUUGUGUUAUCAGGGGAAUUAAUUCACUUGGCUAGAUUUUUAUGGCCAUCUUAGAUAAACAGCAUGUAGUCAUUUUGUUUUAUUAGCAUUGUGAUCCAUUUUUAUAGCCCUGUGCUAGAUAAUGAUGAUAGGAAAUGAGGGCACCUGAAUAAAUUUUUUAAGGGUUGCAGUCUCUCAGAGAACUUGCCCUUUUGCGAAUGGCUUUAUAACUAGUUUGUCACGGCUUGAUAGCUUUGCACAUGCAUUUCCAUGGCUCAGAGACUGGAG
This is a non-coding RNA of Podarcis lilfordi (Lilford's wall lizard), 740 nucleotides long. NCBI's taxonomy places the organism in Eukaryota, Metazoa, Chordata, Lepidosauria, Squamata, Lacertidae. The record is from the annotation of a GenBank genome assembly.